Molecule: ribosomal RNA, 497 nt
Filed under: uncultured bacterium
Lineage: Bacteria
Description: partial 16S ribosomal RNA
Rfam family: Bacterial small subunit ribosomal RNA
Source: RNAcentral
GAUGAACGCUGGCGGCGUGCCUAAUACAUGCAAGUCGAGCGAACAGACGAGGAGCUUGCUCCUCUGACGUUAGCGGCGGACGGGUGAGUAACACGUGGAUAACCUACCUAUAAGACUGGGAUAACUUCGGGAAACCGGAGCUAAUACCGGAUAAUAUAUUGAACCGCAUGGUUCAAUAGUGAAAGACGGUUUUGCUGUCACUUAUAGAUGGAUCCGCGCCGCAUUAGCUAGUUGGUAAGGUAACGGCUUACCAAGGCAACGAUGCGUAGCCGACCUGAGAGGGUGAUCGGCCACACUGGAACUGAGACACGGUCCAGACUCCUACGGGAGGCAGCAGUAGGGAAUCUUCCGCAAUGGGCGAAAGCCUGACGGAGCACCGCCGCGUGAGUGAUGAAGGUCUUCGGAUCGUAAAACUCUGUUAUUAGGGAAGAACAAAUGUGUAAGUAACUAUGCACGUCUUGACGGUACCUAAUCAGAAAGCUACGGCUAACUACGUG